RNAcentral lists this ribosomal RNA (460 nucleotides) under uncultured bacterium. RNAcentral's name for it is "partial 16S ribosomal RNA". It matches the Rfam family "Bacterial small subunit ribosomal RNA", at positions 338 to 795 of the family's 1533-position model. The record is from RNAcentral.
CCUACGGGUGACUGCAGUGAGGAAUAUUGGUCAAUGGACGAGAGUCUGAACCAGCCAAGUAGCGUGAAGGAUGACUGCCCUAUGGGUUGUAAACUUCUUUUAUAUGGGAAUAAAAUGUUCCACGUGUGGGAUUUUGUAUGUACCAUAUGAAUAAGGAUCGGCUAACUCCGUGCCAGCAGCCGCGGUAAUACGGAGGAUCCGAGCGUUAUCCGGAUUUAUUGGGUUUAAAGGGAGCGUAGGUGGAUUGUUAAGUCAGUUGUGAAAGUUUGCGGCUCAACCGUAAAAUUGCAGUUGAAACUGGCAGUCUUGAGUACAGUAGAGGUGGGCGGAAUUCGGGGUGUAGCGGUGAAAUGCUUAGAUAUCACGAAGAACUCCGAUUGCGAAGGCAGUUCACUGGACUGCAACUGACACUGAGGCUCGAAAGUGUGGGUAUCAAACAGGAUUAGAUACUCUAGUAGUC